Non-coding RNA from Camelina sativa (false flax), 654 nucleotides. The record is from RefSeq and is a predicted model, not a curated record. Lineage: Eukaryota; Viridiplantae; Streptophyta; Magnoliopsida; Brassicales; Brassicaceae.
CAAAAACAAACCCAGGCGAAACGUGUAUUGGAUUUUUUUCUUAAAAUUGUGUGUUUCUUCGUCACCGUGAGAAGGUUUAUCAUGGCCGAUUCCGAGAGGUUGUGUUUGAGUAUUUUUCUUGGGCUCUUCCUUCUAUCCCUUCCACUUGCAACCUCUAUGGACCUUCCAAAAGAAGAAGAAGCAGAAAACGGAUGCCUUCGUCCUUGCGCGUGUAACCCAUUGCCUACAAAAGUAUACGCACCACCUGAUGGUUGGUGGAUUGUGUCUGUGUUAUCUAUUGUCACUGUCUUAACAGUGACAUUUGGCUUGUCAAAAAUCAUAUACGCGGUACGUCCAGCUCCAACAGUAGUCAGAAACAACGAAUUAUCUGAAGCUGAAAGAUUGGAAGAGAGAAACAGAAACUUUGAAAAAUACUAUGAGUUACUGAGGAAUACUACGCACGAAGUUCCUAUCUUUAGAGGAAGAAUCUAAAUCCUUGUCAUAAAAGAGCUUGCCAUGGAAUAUCUUUUGGUAUCAAUUGGAACUCAAUCAUGUGUUACUUUUAAAUCCUUACCAUCAUCUCACUCUUUUACCUACGCUUUUGUAGAAAUCUCUAUUGCUGGGAUUCUUUUCUUUAAGAAGAUUUAAAAGUUAUAUGAUACAGCUUUUGUCUUA